Molecule: long non-coding RNA, 1611 nt
Organism: Amphiprion ocellaris (clown anemonefish)
Lineage: Eukaryota; Metazoa; Chordata; Actinopteri; Pomacentridae
Source: Ensembl
AAACGCAGUGUUUGUGUUUGUAUCCUGCAGCUCUGACACAUGCGCCGAAUUCUUUCUCUCCUCAUAAAGCUUUGUUGAGUUGCCGAAUGCGUGCGACUGUUGGUACGAUUAUGUAUCGCAUCACUGGCAUUCUUGCACAUGUGCUCCAAUGCUGGUGCAUGAUUAAAGGAAAACAAAACUGGUCCAUAGUGCUACUAGAGGUCAAAAACUGCACACUUGAAUCAAUAUUGAAACUACUUUUGAUCGUGAAACCACUAUCAACACAUCACUAAAUUCAUGGUCCAGCCGCUCAUUUGUCUUGUCUCAUCAAACCUCAUGUUAUAAACAAUUAACAUGUUCAAUACAUUCUAAUCAUUUCCAGUAGAAAUGACCCAAGUUGUAAUGAACCAGAAUUUUCCUUUAAGUCUGCGUGUGCCGGACAGUCAUGCUUUACUUUAUCUUUCUCCUCGUCUCUCUCUUUCUCAGGGCAGGAGUUGACUUUAAUUGCAUACGGUAUAUGCCUAUGGAAUGAUUUACAUAGAUUGUUGUAUUUAUUUUAAAACGCACUUUUUCAAGAAGCACUUUUGAUUUGUAUUCGGUGGCGCCAAGUGCCGCCACAUUAUUCCCUUCUCAAAGAGGCGGGAAUGUUAGACUUGAAUGGGUGAGUCAUGUAGAUACUUAGAAUACUUCUUCUUCUUCAAUGCUUUCUGCCAAAGUGUGUCUUCCCACCAGUGUACAACUGGGUUCCAUAUCUGUGAAGUAGCCUCCUUUCUUGCAGCGGUCUUACAGGUCUACAUUUAUCUCAAGCGGUCUUUGUUUGAUCUCUACCAUCUUUUUUUUUUUGUUGUUUCUUUUAAAGUUAUGUGAAAGAGCUAUCAGCAGCAGGAGAGGAUAACACAAGUCAGAGAAAGACUUUGAAGAUUCAUCUUAGAUCACAGGCUCUCUCUUUUUAUUAUUUUUUGCUUUUAUCUGUUCAGGGCUUUGAGCUGUUUGAAGUGGAACUGCACAGAGAGUUAGCAUCGCUUCAUGUCAGGGUUAGAAGAGGAAAAAAUAGGGCUGUUUUCUGUCAGGGUUGUGUACAGGGUCAGAAUAUUUUGUCCCCGCCGUCACCAAACCUAAGCACUGCAUCUGACCCUUACCAUUGUGUAUGUGUGCGUGUGUGUGUGUUUCCUUCACUUUGGGAGUGUGUCGUGUGCUGUAUAGCUACGGGUAUGUUGUGAUGUUACGCAUAAUGGCAUGAAGUACAAUACAGCGAUUUUUAAGUGCCAUUAAGUUUGCACAUUAGCCUCAUUCACCUCAUUGGGUAUGUGCUGUAUUGUGCCCGAAACUUUAAUGGAGAAACAAUGGGUGUUAAGUUGUUUCUUAACCCAUUGCUUGUUACUUACACUGAGGCCAUUUCAAAGUUGAAAGUUUCCCCCACAUAGCAGCUUAUCAUAUUUGGGUACGUGUGUGCGGGAGUGCUGGGAAAGACAGCCGUUGUUGUUAAAUGCCUUUUUUCUUUCGUGAAGCAGACUGAUGCUGGUGGGUUUUUUUUGUUUGUUUGUUUUUUUCAUUUAGAGAGUAAUGUGUCUGUUACCUGUUGUCAAUUUAGCUUGUACAUUCAGAUAUGAACCUAAUAAAUAUGUCAAAGAA